This 301-nucleotide ribosomal RNA is filed under the name uncultured bacterium. Its description in RNAcentral is "bacterial SSU rRNA". It matches the Rfam family "Bacterial small subunit ribosomal RNA", at positions 495 to 793 of the family's 1533-position model. The record is from RNAcentral.
GGCUAACUCCGUGCCAGCAGCCGCGGUAAUACGGAGGGUGCGAGCGUUAAUCGGAAUUACUGGGCGUAAAGCGCAUGCAGGCGGCCUGUUAAGUCAGAUGUGAAAGCCCGGGGCUUAACCUCGGAAUUGCAUUUGAAACUGGCAGGCUAGAGUCUUGUAGAGGGGGGUAGGAAUUUCAGGUGUAGCGGUGAAAUGCGUAGAGAUCUGAAGGAAUACCAGUGGCGAAGGCGGCCCCCUGGACAAAGACUGACGCUCAGAUGCGAAAGCGUGGGGAGCAAACAGGAUUAGAUACCCCUGGUAG